Oryzias melastigma (Indian medaka) is the source of this 726-nucleotide long non-coding RNA. RefSeq lists it as uncharacterized. The transcript is spliced from 2 exons. The record is from RefSeq and is a predicted model, not a curated record. NCBI's taxonomy places the organism in Eukaryota, Metazoa, Chordata, Actinopteri, Beloniformes, Adrianichthyidae.
CCCAGGUAGUGUUCCCCACCCUGAGAUUCAUAAAGUAACAUUAACUAAGAGUGGUGAUCUUAAUUUUUUAUGAUCUUUGUUGAAAGCGCUUUUCUUUGAGCAUGGUCUUUUGCUCAGAGUGAUCAUCUCACCUCUACUACAAUCUUUUGGUGGUCGCAUUUUGCAGCACCUCGUGCGAAGUUACAGAGAGGAAAACGGAGCGUAGCAGAGGAAAAAGAGAACCGGUACCCGUGUUGCAAGGAAACAAAAAAGUUAGAUUGACAUCGGAGCUGUGUUUUAAAACUGCAUUGAACUGCUUGUACUCCAAACAACUGAUAUCCUGGCUGGUUUUUUUUUGCAUGUUCGAUUCCUGAAGAACUUUCAGUCAUCUGCCACCUUCUGUCCCGGUCCACCUACGCCUCCAUCUUGUCCCCCUCCCCCCCCUUCGAGUGAAAAGACGGAUCGUCCCAUCCCAUCAUCCCCUUACCCCCCAAGUCAACCCCGUGAACUACAUUCCUGGACGUUACAGGGCGGUAGGACUGCCGAGUGAACUCAUUUGAAGUUUUUUUUUUGUUUUUUAUUGGAGCUCCAAGUUACAUCUUUUUUUUCCCUGAGAUCUCAGUGGUUUUUAUUUAUCUAUUUUUUUUAAUUCAGAACUGAAGGAAUAUUUUUAUGUCUGGAUUCAAAUUUUCUUUGCGAUUGUUGAGGUAUAAUUUCAUGUUGUGCAAUACAAUUGUUUUCACUUUU